GAGGAGAGGGUACACCCGAUCCCAUUCCGAACUCGGAAGUUAAGCUCUCCAUCGCCGAUGAUACUGCAUAACGUCAUGUGGGAAAGUAGGCCGCUGUCAACG
RNAcentral lists this ribosomal RNA (102 nucleotides) under Desulfovibrio desulfuricans. The record is from RNAcentral. Lineage: Bacteria; Pseudomonadati; Thermodesulfobacteriota; Desulfovibrionia; Desulfovibrionales; Desulfovibrionaceae.